UGGGGAAUAUUGGACAAUGGGGGGAACCCUGAUCCAGCCAUGCCGCGUGUGUGAAGAAGGCCUUAUGGUUGUAAAGCACUUUAAGCGAGGAGGAGGGUACUGGUAUUAAUACUACCAGGUACUGGACGUUACUCGCAGAAUAAGCACCGGCUAACUCUGUGCCAGCAGCCGCGGUAAUCCAGAGGGUGCGAGCGUUAAUCGGAUUUACUGGGCGUAAAGCGUGCGUAGGCGGCUAAUUGAGUCGGAUGUGAAAUCCCCGAGCUUAACUUGGGAAUUGCAUUCGAUACUGGUUAGCUAGAGUGUGGGAGAGGAUGGUAGAAUUCCAAGUGUAGCGGUGAAAUGCGUAGAGAGCUGGAGGAAUACCGAUCGCGAAGGCAGCCAUCUGGCCUAACACUGACGCUGAAGUACGAAAGAAUGGGGAGCAAACAGG
RNAcentral lists this ribosomal RNA (430 nucleotides) under Pseudomonadota bacterium. RNAcentral describes it as "Proteobacteria bacterium partial 16S ribosomal RNA". It matches the Rfam family "Bacterial small subunit ribosomal RNA", at positions 355 to 776 of the family's 1533-position model. Lineage: Bacteria; Pseudomonadati; Pseudomonadota. The record is from RNAcentral.